Molecule: transfer RNA, 72 nt
Filed under: Ipomoea nil (Japanese morning glory)
Lineage: Eukaryota; Viridiplantae; Streptophyta; Magnoliopsida; Solanales; Convolvulaceae
Rfam family: tRNA
About the family: Transfer RNA (tRNA) molecules are approximately 80 nucleotides in length.
Source: Rfam by way of RNAcentral
GCUUUCUUAGCUCAGUGGUAGAGCGUGUGGCUUUUAACCACGUGGUCGUGGGUUCGAUCCCCAUAGAAGGUG